UACGUAGGGUGCAAGCGUUGUCCGGAAUUAUUGGGCGUAAAGAGCUCGUAGGCGGUCAGUCGCGUCUGCUGUGAAAACUCGGGGCUUAACUCCGGGCCUGCAGUGGGUACGGGCUGACUAGAGUGCGGUAGGGGAGACUGGAGUUCCUGGUGUAGCGGUGAAAUGCGCAGAUAUCAGGAGGAACACCGGUGGCGAAGGCGGGUCUCUGGGCCGUAACUGACGCUGAGGAGCGAAAGCGUGGGGAGCGAACAGG
Molecule: ribosomal RNA, 253 nt
Filed under: uncultured bacterium
Lineage: Bacteria
Description: partial 16S ribosomal RNA
Rfam family: Bacterial small subunit ribosomal RNA
Source: RNAcentral